RNAcentral lists this ribosomal RNA (466 nucleotides) under uncultured bacterium. RNAcentral describes it as "partial 16S ribosomal RNA". It matches the Rfam family "Bacterial small subunit ribosomal RNA", at positions 28 to 507 of the family's 1533-position model. The record is from RNAcentral.
GACGAACGCUGGCGGCGUGCUUAACACAUGCAAGUCGAACGGAAAGGCCCUGCUUUUGUGGGGUGCUCGAUUGGCGAACGGGUGAGUAACACGUGAGUAACCUGCCCUUGACUUUGGGAUAACUUCAGGAAACUUGGGCUAAUACCGUAUAGGAUCUCCUGCUGCAUUGUGGGGGUUGGAAAGUUUCGGCGGUUGGGGAUGGACUCGCGGCUUAUCAGCUUGUUGGUUGGGUAGUGUCUUACCAAGGCUUUGACGGGUAGCCGGCCUGAGAGGGUGACCGGCCACAUUGGGACUGAGAUACGGCAGACUCCUACGGGAGGCAGCAGUGGGGAAUAUUGCACAAUGGGCGGAAGCCUGAUGAAGCAACGCCGCGUGCGGGAUGACGGCCUUCGGGUUGUAAACCGCUUUAGCCUGUGACGAAGCGGGAGUGACGGUAAUGGGUAAAGAAGCACCGGCUAACUACGUG